This 511-nucleotide ribosomal RNA is filed under the name uncultured bacterium. Its description in RNAcentral is "bacterial SSU rRNA". It matches the Rfam family "Bacterial small subunit ribosomal RNA", at positions 791 to 1304 of the family's 1533-position model. The record is from RNAcentral.
UAGUCCACGCCGUAAACGAUGAAUACUAGGUGUCGGGGGUCGAACCUCGGUGCCGCAGCUAACGCAUUAAGUAUUCCGCCUGGGGAGUACGCACGCAAGUGUGAAACUCAAAGGAAUUGACGGGGACCCGCACAAGCAGCGGAGCAUGUGGUUUAAUUCGAAGCAACGCGAAGAACCUUACCAGGUCUUGACAUACAAAUGACCGGAACUUAACCGUUCCUUUCCUUCGGGACAUUUGAUACAGGUGGUGCAUGGUUGUCGUCAGCUCGUGUCGUGAGAUGUUGGGUUAAGUCCCGCAACGAGCGCAACCCUUACUUUUAGUUGCCAUCAGGUAAUGCUGGGCACUCUAAAGGGACUGCCGUGGACAACACGGAGGAAGGUGGGGAUGACGUCAAAUCAUCAUGCCCCUUAUGAUCUGGGCUACACACGUGCUACAAUGGUCGGUACAACGGGCAGCGAAGGGGUGACCUGGAGCGAAUCCUAUAAAGCCGAUCUCAGUUCGGAUUGCAGG